CUAAGUUCAGCGGGUAUUCCUACCUGAUCCGAGGUCAACUUAAAAAGAUUGGGGUUGAUGGUCGUCGACCGCCAGGACCCAUAGCGAGAAAUUUACUACGCUCGGGACCCAACGGCGCCGCCACUGAGUUUAGGGCUCGCCAUCACUGGCGCGGCCCAAUACCAAGCAGAGCUUGAGUGGUGUUAAUGACGCUCGAACAG
RNAcentral lists this unclassified non-coding RNA (200 nucleotides) under Ascomycota sp. RNAcentral describes it as "partial internal transcribed spacer 2". Lineage: Eukaryota; Fungi; Ascomycota. The record is from RNAcentral.